AACGACGACAAGCACCGCGAGAGCUCGUCACGCAAAGUCAAAAUGCGCCGCCGCUGAGGUGCCCGCCGACGGCUUUCUACUUUUUUUUCUCUUUUUUUCCAUCGAGUGGUCAUUGGUGUGGUGUACCGUAUUUUCCACACUAAAAGGUGCACUGGAUUAUGAGGCGCACCUUCAGCGAAUGGCCUAUUUUGUCUUUUUUUUUCAUAUAUUGGACGCACCGCAUUAUAAGACGCAAUCCACAAUGCAUCCACUAGAUGGAGCUACGCUCGAAGAAAUGCAAACAGAACGAUCAGAUGUCAGUAAGCGCGACGUGAACGACGACAAGCACCACGAGAGCUCGUCACGCAAAGUCAAAAUGCGCCGCCGCUGAGGGGCCCGCCGACGGCUUUCUACUUUUUUUUUCUUUUUUUUCCAUCGAGUGGUCAUUGGUGUGGUGUACCGUAUUUUCCACACUAAAAGGUGCACUGGAUUAUGAGGCGCACCUUCAGUGAUUGGCCUAUUUUGUCACUUUUUUUCAUAUAUUGGACGCACCGCAUUAUAAGACGCAAUCUACAAUGCAUCCACUAGAUGGAGCUACGCUC
Hippocampus zosterae (dwarf seahorse) is the source of this 581-nucleotide long non-coding RNA. RefSeq lists it as uncharacterized. The transcript is spliced from 2 exons. Lineage: Eukaryota; Metazoa; Chordata; Actinopteri; Syngnathiformes; Syngnathidae. The record is from RefSeq and is a predicted model, not a curated record.